RNAcentral lists this long non-coding RNA (1060 nucleotides) under Equus caballus (horse). RNAcentral's name for it is "lncRNA (ENSECAG00000057270.1)". Lineage: Eukaryota; Metazoa; Chordata; Mammalia; Perissodactyla; Equidae. The record is from RNAcentral.
AGGCUUUGCUGAGAACAGUGCUUGGUCAGUAGUAGUCAUUGCUCACUGUCAACAUCUCGGUUAUAUGCUCUCCAUUUGUCCUACAAGCGCAGCGACAUGAACAGAUCGUUGAAUAUGUCUUGAGGGCAUUCGACAUUUGUCAGGUUAUUCCUAUUUUUUCCAGGAGGAAGUUUGUUUUGUCAGAGCCCACAGUAUCCUCGCAUUUACUGCUGUCAGAGGGGCCAGUGGCAACUACUCUUUCAGAAAAGCAAAAUUUCCCGAGAAGAAAUCGUGAGGUUUCUCUUGCUAUGUGACCUUAAGGAGAUGACUUCACACCUCUCAGAUUCAGUUCCUGGACUGGUAAAAAUGCAGCAAGUAACUUGAACUGUCCACAAUAGCUGUAAUUGUUGCUAAUUCCAGCAAUUUUCCUCAAGAGGUUCCCUGCUAAGAACCUUCCAUCUAGCAAACCAAACCACUAAAUGCAAGAGGGCUUGAAUUAUUGGAAUUAUUGCUUGGCAAAUGCAGAAUGGUCAACCCUGCCACACUGUGACCCAGAGAAAGAUCUUUCGAAAAUAAAGAUCAUUCUCGUCAGUUGGAAUAAAACUGUCCUGCAAGGAAUCAAAUUGGCCCUCUGUCCGCGUGAUCUUCUUAAGUAAAACAAAAGACAAAUGUGCACUGUCCACAAAUGAAGUUGGCCAAGCAAAUUGGGGGAGAAAAAGAAAGCCUCACCAGCCUCCUUACUGAUCUGAAAGUCACCUUCUUGAAGAAGUAAGGAAGAUCAGACCUGAGCUAACAUCUGCUGCCAAUCCUCCUCUUUUUGCUGAGGAAGACUGGCCCUGAGCUAACAUCCAUGCCCAUCUUCCUCUACUUUAUAUGUGGGACGCCUACCACAGCAUGGCUUGCCAAGUGGUGCUAUGUCUGCACCUCGGAUCUGAACUGGCGAUCCCUGGGCCACGGAAGCAGAACGUGUGCACUUAACCACUGUGCCACCGGGCCAGCCCCUGAAGAGUUCUGACAAAUGUAUACCAUACCCACGCCACCACCACUAUCAAAAGAUAGGAGGUUUCCAUCACCCUAAAAG